GACGAACGCUGGCGGCGUGCUUAACACAUGCAAGUCGAACGGAAAGGCCCUGCUUUUGUGGGGUGCUCGAGUGGCGAACGGGUGAGUAACACGUGAGUAACCUGCCCUUGACUUUGGGAUAACUUCAGGAAACUGGGGCUAAUACCGGAUAGGAGCUCCUGCCGCAGGGUGGGGGUUGGAAAGUUUCGGCGGGUGGGGAUGGACGCGCGGCUUAUCAGCUUGUUGGUGGGGUAGUGGCUUACCAAGGCUUUGACGGGUAGCCGGCCUGAGAGGGUGACCGGCCACAUUGGGACUGAGAUACGGCCCAGACUCCUACGGGAGGCAGCAGUGGGGAAUAUUGCACAAUGGGCCGAAGCCUGAUGCAGCAACGCCGCGUGCGGGAUGACGGCCUUCGGGUUGUAAACCGCUUUCGCCUGUGACGAAGCGUGAGUGACGGUAAUGGGUAAAGAAGCACCGGCUAACUACGUG
RNAcentral lists this ribosomal RNA (468 nucleotides) under uncultured bacterium. RNAcentral's name for it is "partial 16S ribosomal RNA". It matches the Rfam family "Bacterial small subunit ribosomal RNA", at positions 28 to 507 of the family's 1533-position model. The record is from RNAcentral.